RNAcentral lists this transfer RNA (90 nucleotides) under Streptococcus sp. RNAcentral's name for it is "tRNA-Ser". It matches the Rfam family "tRNA". From Rfam's summary of the family: Transfer RNA (tRNA) molecules are approximately 80 nucleotides in length. Their secondary structure includes four short double-helical elements and three loops (D, anti-codon, and T loops). The record is from RNAcentral. Lineage: Bacteria; Bacillati; Bacillota; Bacilli; Lactobacillales; Streptococcaceae.
GGAUGGUUGACCGAGUGGCCGAAGGUAGCAGUCUUGAAAACUGUAGCGUCCGUAAGGGCGCCGGGGGUUCAAAUCCCUCACCAUCCGCGA